Molecule: transfer RNA, 71 nt
Filed under: Loxodonta africana (African savanna elephant)
Lineage: Eukaryota; Metazoa; Chordata; Mammalia; Proboscidea; Elephantidae
Rfam family: tRNA
About the family: Transfer RNA (tRNA) molecules are approximately 80 nucleotides in length. Their secondary structure includes four short double-helical elements and three loops (D, anti-codon, and T loops). Further hydrogen bonds mediate the characteristic L-shaped molecular structure. tRNAs have two regions of fundamental functional importance: the anti-codon, which is responsible for specific mRNA codon recognition, and the 3' end, to which the tRNAs corresponding amino acid is attached (by aminoacyl-tRNA synthetases). tRNAs cope with the degeneracy of the genetic code in two manners: having more than one tRNA (with a specific anti-codon) for a particular amino acid; and 'wobble' base-pairing, i.e. permitting non-standard base-pairing at the 3rd anti-codon position.
Source: Rfam by way of RNAcentral
ACACUGGUGGUUCAGCAGUAGAAUUCUUAUCCUCUAUGUGGGAGACCUGGGUUCGAUUCCCAGCCAAAGCA